Molecule: long non-coding RNA, 1408 nt
Organism: Amaranthus tricolor (Joseph's coat)
Lineage: Eukaryota; Viridiplantae; Streptophyta; Magnoliopsida; Caryophyllales; Amaranthaceae
Exons: 3
Source: RefSeq, a predicted model, not a curated record
UAUCCCUGUUUCUAUAUGUUAGAAACCAAAAAUCAGAUUUUGGCCUUAACAUUACAAGUAUUCAUCUUCUCCUCAAAAACCCCUCCUCCUUCUUCUAUUUCCUCGUGAUUCUCUGUAAUCUUGAGGUAGUAAUGCAAUGUUCGAUUCCUGUGAAGCCUUGAAGCAACUUCCUCCCUCUCCUUGCGACAGAAUCGGGCAGCCAUCAAACCUCACCUUCUUCCUUUUUUUCCAUCUAUUAUUCAUCUUCUUCAUUUGCCCCCUUUUCCCAAAACCCUUACAUUUUCGAAAACCCCAAUCAUCUUCCUUUCAUUCUUGAUUUCGAAGCAAACUAGCAACCAAAAACAUCAUCUCAUUCUGUCUCGGUUUUGAAUUGUAGUUAACCCCAUUUUCUCUCAUCUUUUCUGAAUUUCGAGAGUGCUUUUGGCAAAUACAAGAACCAUUAUCUAAUUUCUUGGGUUGAUUUCUUUGGUGUACGACUGGGUCAGUGUAGGUGCAAGCUGAGGCAACAUCUCAAGGCUAAAUUCUUGCAGUCUCUCUUUCUGGAAAAUUUCGAAAGAACCAAAUAUUAACAUUUCCUCCAGUUUCCUAUGAUUUCUCGGCCAAUCAACAACAACUUCCUUCGUUUCGGUUGCCACUGGUUUCGAAGUGGGAAUGACUUUGCAAAGGAUCUUCUAGUUGAUAGCUAUAAUUUGGACUCAACUCGUUAAAACAACGUUGUAGUUUGUUUGCAGAUUGGAACUGGUCGGGAACGAUGGGUUAGCGGUGAUGAUUAGAGAUACAGAGAUGUUAUAUUUUGCUGAGUACGUGAGAAGUGUAGUAUUGUAUUAGGUUUUUGAUAAAUGUUCAUUAGACGUGGUUGUGUUGGUUAUAUUGGACUUAUAGAGUGGCUUUUAUGAUUACAAUGUAUUUUAGUUAUAUGUUUGGUUUGAGAAUUAACUGAUUUAGCUAUGUUUUAGAACUGGUGACCCUUUUGCUCAAAUUUUGGAAUUUAGAUUUAAGUUUCUUAGGAAAUAAACUCCGUGAUGACCCUAUUUACUCAGUCAACGGUAAGAUGGGUUAUUACAGCAAGCUGCUCAAUCAAUCGCUCGCUCGAGCAUGGGUCGAGCGAACCUGUUGCCCUUCUUUUCGUCAGUUUCUGUCUUCUAUUGUGUAUGCUACGUUGUUGCUCCCUUCUUAUGGUUUCUUCCCCUAUAAAUAUUCCUUUAUAUGCUAAAUAAUUGGUACACCAAAGUCUCAUACUUAGAGCAACCUUUAUUGUUUAGUUUUAUGCUAAGUUAGCUCCUCUCUUCUAUAGAUAACGUCUAUUGUAAUUUCUCUCAAGUUUUGUAUUUCUCCUUUAAACACAUUAAUAUAAUUCUAGGCUAGAUAGUGGAUGUACCAUAUUGAUUGGUGAACCAUCUUAAAUCCU